CAAGCGUUGUGUCUACACACACAUCCCUACAGUACAGACGCCGCGCCGCGCACAUCUAGCCAGUCUCGUUACGGACCAUGCGCGGUACAGACGUGUGUCGUAAUUUCACAAAUAUUAAAGUAAUUGUUUAGUAAAAAGAUCCAGAAUUUUAGAUCUCCCUGCCUCGUCCGGGAUGACCUCGAGAAUCUUCCACAAAAGCGGUGUCAGGGAGGCGCGGAGUGUAAUUAAAGUUGCUGCAGUGCUGACUGUAUACCUCACGGGUGGCCGGUAGUUAUUGUAGAUUAUUUAAACAGUUUCUUAAUGGUUGUUUCGAUGCAACUCAAAACAAAAGCGAUGUCAGAGAGGCGCGGAGUGUUAUUAAAGUUGCUGCAGUGCUGACUGUAUACCUCACGGGUAGCCGGUAGUUAUUAUAGAUUAUUUAAACAGUUUCUUAAUGGUUGUUGCGAUGCAACUCAAAACAAAAGCGGUGCCAGGGAGACGCAGAGUGUUAUUAAAGUUGCUGCAGUGCUGACUGUAUACCUCACGGGUGGCCGGUAGUUAUUGUAGAUUAUUUAAACAGUUUCUUAAUGGUUGUUCUGAUACAACUCAAAACAAAAGCGGCGUCAGGAAGGCCGGAGUGCUAUUAAAGUUGCUGCAGUGCUGACUGUAUACCUCACGGGUGGCUGGGAGUUAUUGUAGAUUAUUUAAACAGUUUCUUAACGGUAACUUUGAUACAACCUACAUGUACUCUCAUGUAAACAUUUUUAAAUAAAUUACUGUGACUUGUAA
Spodoptera frugiperda (fall armyworm) is the source of this 768-nucleotide long non-coding RNA. RefSeq lists it as uncharacterized. NCBI's taxonomy places the organism in Eukaryota, Metazoa, Arthropoda, Insecta, Lepidoptera, Noctuidae. The record is from RefSeq and is a predicted model, not a curated record. The transcript is spliced from 6 exons.